CCUACGGGCGGCAGCAGUGGGGAAUAUUGGACAAUGGGGGGAACCCUGAUCCAGCCAUGCCGCGUGUGUGAAGAAGGCCCUCGGGCUGUAAAGCACUUUCAGUGAGGAAGAACGCCUGGUGGUUAAUACCCAUCAGGAAAGACAUCACUCACAGAAGAAGCACCGGCUAACUCCGUGCCAGCAGCCGCGGUAAUACGGAGGGUGCGAGCGUUAAUCGGAAUUACUGGGCGUAAAGCGCGCGUAGGUGGCUUGAUAAGCCGGUUGUGAAAGCCCCGGGCUCAACCUGGGAACGGCAUCCGGAACUGUCAAGCUAGAGUGCAGGAGAGGAAGGUAGAAUUCCCGGUGUAGCGGUGAAAUGCGUAGAGAUCGGGAGGAAUACCAGUGGCGAAGGCGGCCUUCUGGACUGACACUGACACUGAGGUGCGAAAGCGUGGGUAGCAAACAGGAUUAGAUACCCCUGUAGUC
Molecule: ribosomal RNA, 465 nt
Filed under: Vreelandella stevensii
Lineage: Bacteria; Pseudomonadati; Pseudomonadota; Gammaproteobacteria; Oceanospirillales; Halomonadaceae
Description: partial 16S ribosomal RNA
Rfam family: Bacterial small subunit ribosomal RNA
Source: RNAcentral